CAGCAGCCGCGGUAAAACGGAGGGUGCAAGCGUUAAUCGGAAUUACUGGGCGUAAAGCGUGCGUAGGCGGUUCGUUAAGUCUGUUGUGAAAGCCCCGGGCUCAACCUGGGAAUGGCAAUGGAUACUGGCGAGCUAGAGUGUGUCAGAGGAUGGUGGAAUUCCCGGUGUAGCGGUGAAAUGCGUAGAGAUCGGGAGGAACAUCAGUGGCGAAGGCGGCCAUCUGGGACAACACUGACGCUGAGGCACGAAAGCGUGGGGAGCAAACAGGAUUAGAUACCCCCGUAGUCCCUGUCUCUUAUAC
RNAcentral lists this ribosomal RNA (301 nucleotides) under uncultured bacterium. Its description in RNAcentral is "partial 16S ribosomal RNA". It matches the Rfam family "Bacterial small subunit ribosomal RNA", at positions 509 to 807 of the family's 1533-position model. The record is from RNAcentral.